ACAGUCAGGAAAGGGCGCUGAGAGGUGAGCGUGAGCCCAGCGACAGGAGAGUGAGCUCACCAUGUGCAGCGCCAUGACCAGCAAGGGUCCCGAGGAGGAGCACCCAUCGGUGACGCUCUUCCGCCAGUACCUGCGCAUCCGCACCGUCCAGCCCAAGCCUGACUACGGAGCUGCUGUGGCUUUCUUUGAGGAGAGAGCCCGCCAGCUGGGCCUGGGCUGUCAGAAAGUGGAGGUGGCACCUGGCUAUGUGGUGACCGUGUUGACCUGGCCAGGCACCAACCCUACACUCUCCUCCAUCUUGCUCAACUCCCACACGGAUGUGGUGCCUGUCUUCAAGGAACAUUGGAGUCACGACCCCUUUGAGGCCUUCAAGGAUUCUGAGGGCUACAUCUAUGCCAGGGGUGCCCAGGACAUGAAGUGCAUCAGCAUCCAGUACCUGGAAGCUGUGAGGAGGCUGAAGGUGGAGGGCCACCGGUUCCCCAGAACCAUCCACAUGACCUUUGUACCUGAUGAGGAGGUUGGUGGUCACCAAGGCAUGGAGCUGUUCGUGCAGCGGCCUGAGUUCCAUGCCCUGAGGGCAGGCUUUGCCCUGGAUGAGGGCAUAGCCAAUCCCACUGAUGCCUUCACUGUCUUUUAUAGUGAGCGGAGUCCCUGGUGGGUGCGGGUCACCAGCACUGGGAGGCCAGGCCAUGCCUCACGCUUCAUGGAGGACACAGCAGCAGAGAAGCUGCACAAGGUUGUGAGCUCCAUCCUGGCAUUCCGGGAGAAGGAAUGGCAGAGGCUGCAGUCAAACCCCCACCUGAAAGAGGGGUCCGUGACCUCCGUGAACCUGACUAAGCUAGAGGGUGGCGUGGCCUAUAACGUGAUACCUGCCACCAUGAGCGCCAGCUUUGACUUCCGUGUGGCACCGGAUAUGGACUUCAAGGCUUUUGAGGAGCAGCUGCAGAGCUGGUGCCAGGCAGCUGGCGAGGGGGUCACCUUAGAGUUUGCUCAGGUAUGGACUUGGGACAUGUGAUGGGAGAGUGUGGGAGCUGGGAGAGACCCAAGUGUGCAACAGUGGAGUGUGUGCUUGGUAUGUCUGCAUAUGUCUGGGCAUUUCUUUAUCUGUGAGAGACACAUUUUAUUCCAACAAGCAUUCGUUGUAGAGGCCACUGUGGGUGCUGGGGAAUGCUGUGGGGUGUAAAAUUAGGCACAGUUCAUGCCCUUGUAUGGUGAAACGGGGAGAUAUAAAUCAAACAUUUAUGUGAUAUUACUUUUUUCUGAGAGAAUCUCACUCCGUCACCCAGGCUGCAGUGCAGUGGCACAAUCUCGGCUCACCUCCGCCUCCCGGGUUCAAGCAAUUCUUGUGCCUCAGCCUCCAGAAUAGUUGGGAUUACAGGCACCUGCCACCAUGCCCAGCUAAUUUUUGCAUUUUUAGUAGAGACAGGGUUUCACCAUGUUGGCCAGGCUUGUCUCAAACUCCUGGCCUCAAGUGAUCCACCCGCCUUGGCCUUGCAAAGUGCUGGGAUUACAGGCAUGAGCCACUGCGCCCAGCCGUACUUUCAUAUAACACAUGUGGUACAAGAAAGGGUGGCCCCUUGCACUCUGAAAACCUGUAACU
RNAcentral lists this small RNA (1600 nucleotides) under Pongo abelii (Sumatran orangutan). Its description in RNAcentral is "retained intron". The record is from RNAcentral. Lineage: Eukaryota; Metazoa; Chordata; Mammalia; Primates; Hominidae.